GGAUGUGAGGGCGAUCUGGCUGUGACAUCUGUCACCCCACUGAUUGCCAGGUUUGAUUCGGCUGAUAUGGCUGGCUAGGCGGGUGUCCCCUUCCUCCCUCACCGCUCCAUGUGCGUCCUUCCCAAAGCUGUGCACUCGUUCGAAGAGGACGACCUUCUCCGAUAGAGGAGGACCAUUCUUUGGUCAAGGGUAUACGAGUAGCUGCGCUCCCCUGCUAGAACCUCCAAACAAGCUCUCAAAGCAGUUAAGAAAAAACAAAAAGGAGAAAAAGACAGUUAAGAGAAUGAUAAGACACGUCACAUAUUGGGAAACCAACUUUG
RNAcentral lists this small nuclear RNA (320 nucleotides) under Ailuropoda melanoleuca (giant panda). Its description in RNAcentral is "7SK RNA". It matches the Rfam family "7SK RNA". From Rfam's summary of the family: 7SK was discovered as an abundant small nuclear RNA in the mid-70s but a possible function has only recently been suggested. Two independent studies have found that 7SK RNA binds the CDK9/cyclin T complex (known as elongation factor P-TEFb). Lineage: Eukaryota; Metazoa; Chordata; Mammalia; Carnivora; Ursidae. The record is from Rfam by way of RNAcentral.